UAGUAUUAAGGACUUAAAUAGGAUUAAAUAGGAAGAGGGUUUUAUUUAAUUAAGGAUUUGUUUCCCAAGAGUCUGCUGCCUCUUCUCCUUUGUUCCUCUCAAAGUCAAAAUCGUCACUACAACCAUUGUUGGAUACUCAGCUUUUGCUCUUUGUCUUCUAGCAUUCAUGGCCAUCGGACCUUUCUGUUGAUCAUGGAUAGAGGCUGGAUUCAUGAACCUAAGUUCUCUAAAAGAUAUGUUG
Long non-coding RNA from Solanum stenotomum, 241 nucleotides. RefSeq lists it as uncharacterized. The transcript has 2 exons. Lineage: Eukaryota; Viridiplantae; Streptophyta; Magnoliopsida; Solanales; Solanaceae. The record is from RefSeq and is a predicted model, not a curated record.